UUCUAAAACAUUCCCAUCAGAUUUUACAGAUUCAAAACCCUUUUAUACCCUCACUAGCUUUCCUAAAUUACCCUACCCUUGAAUUUUGACCCCAUUUAGUUCUUUGAACCUUAGUUUACUCACAAUUAACCCUGGUUAGUUUUUUUACCCUAAUUUAAGCAUAAUUAACCUUGGUCAAUCAAACUUGAGUCAAACUCAUAUUAGCAGACUCAUGAAGAUCAGAAUUAACCAAAAAUUAACAGACUUCUAUACA
RNAcentral lists this long non-coding RNA (253 nucleotides) under Nicotiana benthamiana. Its description in RNAcentral is "long non-coding RNA (NBEN_LNC036369)". Lineage: Eukaryota; Viridiplantae; Streptophyta; Magnoliopsida; Solanales; Solanaceae. The record is from RNAcentral.